Molecule: ribosomal RNA, 438 nt
Filed under: uncultured bacterium
Lineage: Bacteria
Description: partial 16S ribosomal RNA
Rfam family: Bacterial small subunit ribosomal RNA
Source: RNAcentral
CCUACGGGAGGCUGCAGUGGGGAAUUUUGCGCAAUGGGGGAAACCCUGACGCAGCAACGCCGCGUGCGGGACGAAGGCCCUCGGGUCGUAAACCGCUUUCAGCAGGGAAGACCACGACGGUACCUGCAGAAGAAGCUCCGGCUAACUACGUGCCGGCAGCCGCGGUAAUACGUAGGGGGCGAGCGUUAUCCGGAUUCAUUGGGCGUAAAGCGCGCGGAGGCGGCCGCCUAAGCGGAACCCCUUACCCCGGGGCUCAACCUCGGGCCAGGUUCCGGACUGGCGGCUCGAGUGCGGUAGAGGAGAGCGGAAUUCCCGGUGUAGCGGUGGAAUGCGCAGAUAUCGGGAAGAACACCGAUGGCGAAGGCAGCUCUCUGGGCCGUAACUGACGCUGAGGCGCGAAAGCUGGGGGAGCGAACAGGAUUAGAUACCCGAGUAGUC